CUGUCCUCUUCUCUGGGAUAAUUGUUCUUUGAGUUCAAUUUGAGAAAGUGGACUAUAUGCCCUCCAGGAGUCACCGGGCGAUGCAGCAGAGGAGCAAAAAGAUAACGCCUGCUUCCCUCAGGAUCGGGGCACCAGAUCAUCAUCCCCUCCAGUCAAACAGGCUUUUUGCGGGUCCACUUUAACCCCCAGUACGACACCCAACAUAGCGGACACCGAAGACGAGGACCAGCUCCCUAUGGAAGCAUA
Plectropomus leopardus (leopard coralgrouper) is the source of this 246-nucleotide non-coding RNA. The record is from RefSeq and is a predicted model, not a curated record. Lineage: Eukaryota; Metazoa; Chordata; Actinopteri; Perciformes; Serranidae.